Brachypodium distachyon (stiff brome) is the source of this 3582-nucleotide RNA transcript. It is a transcript of the gene named protein indeterminate-domain 1, with no coding region annotated. The transcript is spliced from 5 exons. The record is from RefSeq and is a predicted model, not a curated record. NCBI's taxonomy places the organism in Eukaryota, Viridiplantae, Streptophyta, Magnoliopsida, Poales, Poaceae.
AAACUGCUAGGCAGGAUCAGGAUGACCCAUCUGGGUCGCUUCCGUAGCCUGUACCCGACAUGCUCCAGGAGAGAAAUCGGCCGUUUCCGCGAGCCAAGGCCCCGGACCAGCUAGGCUCGGUCGUUCGUUCCCCUCCCAUCAUCAUCCUCUCAACGCAGCCGACUCCUCGAUCUCACCCUGUGGAAAGCAACAGAUCUCAACGGCGGUCAGCGCCAAGGGGAUUCCCGUUCUUCCCCGCCCAGACCCGCGCUCUAAUUUCAUCUUCUUUCCUUUCUUCCCGAUUGGGAAUCCGGAAUCCUAGUCGACCAGUCACCAGUCCUUCAAUCUUGUCCGCUAGAUGUGCUUUUAAGCACCGGCGAAUACAGUGCAGUAACUUCUUUCCAGCUAGAUUAAUCUCUGCACUGCCGAGACACAGAAGGGGAAAGAAAUCUUCGGGGGCAAACUGAAAGCAAGCAGCGAGGGAGAGAAGAAGAGAAGGAGGAAGAAGAAUUCUUUCCGUCCACCGCCGCCGCCGGCGCGCGCCCCCGGUUCGCUGGUGGAUAAAGGGGCAGCUGAAGAGGGCCGCUGUUUUUUUCGAGGAAAAAGAGGGCCGCUUUUGAGCCGAGGGCGGGGAACGGCGGCCGCGCCAGAUCGAGCGGAGAUGCUGCCCAAUCCGCCGGAGCCGCAGCCGGCGGAGGCGACGGCGCCGGCCAAGAAGAAGAGGAACCUCCCCGGCACGCCAGAUCCGGACGCGGAGGUGAUCGCGCUGUCGCCGGGGACGCUGAUGGCCAGCAACCGCUUCGUGUGCGAGGUUUGCGGGAAGGGCUUCCAGCGGGACCAGAACCUGCAGCUGCACCGGCGCGGCCACAACCUGCCGUGGCGGCUGCGGCAGCCCGGGGGCGCGGCGCCACGCCGCCGGAGGGUGUACGUCUGCCCGGACCCGGGCUGCGUGCACCACUCGCCGGCCCGGGCGCUCGGGGACCUCACGGGCAUCAAGAAGCACUUCUGCCGCAAGCACGGCGAGAAGCGGUGGGCGUGCCCCCGCUGCGGCAAGCGAUACGCCGUCCAGGCCGACCUCAAGGCCCACGCCAAGGCCUGCGGCACCCGCGAGUACCGCUGCGGCUGCGGCACCCUCUUCACUAGGAGGGACAGUUUCACAACCCAUCGCUCUUUCUGCGGUGCCCUCGGGGAGGAAACCAGCAGAGUGCUCGCUGUUCCGGAGCAGCCUUCACCUCGGCCACCUGAUCUGGAGGAGCUUGAGCAGAAUGUGGACAAGGACAAGGAGAAUGGGGAGGAUAAUGUAGACACGGAUCAGGAGAAUGAGAACGAGGAGAAUUCGGGUGAAGAGAAGAAUGAUAAUUCCACUGUGGCUGAGGUGAACGAGCCUCGGCAUGCCGAGGAAGAGGCGGUGAUGGAGGGGUCCCAUUGCAUUCUAUCGCCGCCAUCCCCACUGCCAAAGGAGCAGCAACCAAGGGUGGAAGUGGUGCCAGAUGUGGAUGAGGCACAGGUGGUUGUGGAGCCAAUUGUGGAUGUCAAGCAAGAGGAGGAAGACAAGCCAAAUGAUGACGUUUGCUUCCAGGAAGCCUACCAAUAUGAUUGUGAUGAACUAAAGGAUUCCAACCUGCCAGAUGAUGUUGUCCCGAUGCUACCUUGUUUCCUCCCCUUGCGUUCGGAUGCCAUUGGUACAGAUGGAAGCAGCACCAGCUGUGGCACAGUCAGCAGUGCUUCCAAUUCCAUUGCACCAGCAACAACAACGACUAGCACGUUUGCUGGCCUAUUUGCAUCAGCCACAACAAGCACCACUCCCCAGAGUAGAUCGCUGCGUGAUCUUAUAGGUGUUGAUCCCACCUUCCUUUGCCUUGCGAUUGGUGCGUCCUCCUCUCUGUUCCCAGAGACAAGUGCAAGCAACGCUUGCACGUUUGCUCCACCUCCAGCACCGCACAUGUCCGCGACUGCACUCCUGCAAAAGGCUGCCGAGGUUGGAGCUUCGCAAUCAAGCUCGUCUUUCUUGAAGGGGUUUGGACUUGCAAGUUCCUCCUCAUCAACCCCAUCGAGGGAACCUCAAGGAAGGUCUAUAGAUAGCUCAACGCAAUCCCAGCUACCUCAAGGGUUCAUCGAUAACUCCACACCAUUCGAGCAAUCUCCAAGGAUAUUCAUCGAUAACUCCCUACCAUCCAAUCUACCUCAAGGAAGAUUUUUCGACAACACAAAACUAUCCAGUCUGCCAGAAGGAAAGUUCUUUGAUAACUCGCCACCAUGCAAUCUGCCUCAAGGAAUGUCCGCCAGUUACUCACCACCAUCAAAGUUACCACUGGGACAGUUCAUCGAUAACUCGUCACUACCAAAGCUGCCUCAAGAAAGGCACUUUGAUAGCUCGUCACUACGCAAGCUGCCUCAAGGAAGAUACAUUGAUAGGUUGCCACCAUCCAUGCUACCCAAAGGAAGGAACAUCGGCAGUUCACCACCAUGCAAUCUACAACAAGGAAGGUUCUUCGAUGACAGAGCACAACAGCGACACCACCAGAGUAAUCAACUAAUGGAUAUGGACCCCGAGCCAAUUCUACCUCGCAGUCCUGGCCUUGCAUACAACAGUGCAAGUCCUCGGCUGCCAGAUUUGAUGAUGGCGCAAUCACCACUCUUCGGUCCCAAGCCUGUCACUCAGGACUUUCUUGGGCUUGGCAUCAGAAGGACCAUGGGCGACUUUGCGACCAACGGUGGCCUCCCGGCAUUGAUGGUUGGAGGUGAGUUGAACGUGAAGUCUUCACAGGUGCCUCCUCCAUGGGAGGAGGCCAAGAGAAAGAGCAAUGGCCACACAAUUUGAAUGGUUCUGAACUGGCAGGCUCCUACAUUUGAGGCUUUUGCGGAAGUUCCUAAUGCUCUCUGUCCGCAUACACAAAUCUUCUGCACUAGAUUACAGGUUCUUGGCACAACAGAGGACUUGGUGAAGGAUAUUAUUGCCCGUCUUUCUAGUUAACUUCGAGAUGAGCUCAUUUUUCUUCUACAGUUUUUUAUCUGCCUCAAAAUUUUGAAAGAAAACUGAAGGAAGAACCUUGGGGACUUGAACCUAGGUGGUGGGGUUGUACAUCCUUCAGGACUUGAAUUGAACCUAAUCUAUACAGGGUAUGAGUAUGUUUUUUUUUAUAGAAGUCAUUUGUGUAAAAAUCACCUGUAAGAUCUCGAUCUAGCUGACGUGCCAGGCGAAAUUUUGAAAGUUCUUUCCUUCUUCAAACACCAAAUCAAUUUAGUUCCCUUUUUUUUUAUAGUUUUUGGAGGUUGUUCUUAAUCUAUCAAACAUCUCUCCCAAAGUUUCACUAAAAAUUCAAGUUGUGUUGGAAGAUACAGAAAAGAGAGCAUGACUGACAAGUUACACAUUUUCCAUGGAGGUACUGGAAGCAAUGAAAGAGCUGGACUACCGUGCUUCUGGAUCGGUGGUCAUCGAGAACUGUAGACUCGUGCUUUCUUCUUUGGGCCAUGUUCUAGAGAGGCUGUAAAUUUCAGGGGUUUGGAAGGCGUCUGGAUCAAUAAAUCGCGUGAGUUUAUUGUACCAGUGAUGGUGGAUGACCUAACCAUCGUUUAAUGAAGUUCUGUGAGUUUCAAAAGCUA